UACGAAGGGGGCUAGCGUUGCUCGGAAUCACCGGGCGUAAAGCGCACGUAGGCGGCUUCUUAAGUCAGGGGUGAAAUCCUGGAGCUCAACGCCAGAACUGCCUUUGAUACUGAGGAGCUUGAGUCCGGGAGAGGUGAGUGGAACUGCGAGUGUAGAGGUGAAAUUCGUAGAUAUUCGCAAGAACACCAGUGGCGAAGGCGGCUCACUGGCCCGGUACUGACGCUGAGGUGCGAAAGCGUGGGGAGCAAACAGG
RNAcentral lists this ribosomal RNA (253 nucleotides) under uncultured bacterium. Its description in RNAcentral is "partial 16S ribosomal RNA". It matches the Rfam family "Bacterial small subunit ribosomal RNA", at positions 524 to 776 of the family's 1533-position model. The record is from RNAcentral.